CUGGAUGUCCAAUAUCUUUUACAUCGCUUCGCAUUUAGAUUCCUCUACUUCUCACAAUCUCAACCACAAAAUUUCCAGAUUUUUCAUCCAGUCUCAUUCAAAAGAAAAAAAGAAGAAGAUCAGAGGCUUAAAAUUAUAUUGAAAUUAAAAGCAAAAGCUAAAACAUUAAAACCCACAAUCAUUUUGAGAACAAAACUACCAUGCUAGUUGUGUUUUUUCAUUUUGAUUUUGGUUGAAAAUCAU
Molecule: long non-coding RNA, 243 nt
Filed under: Prunus persica (peach)
Lineage: Eukaryota; Viridiplantae; Streptophyta; Magnoliopsida; Rosales; Rosaceae
Description: long non-coding RNA (PPER_LNC001333)
Source: RNAcentral